UGAUGUUGAAAUAAAGGAUUCUUCAAAUAGGACGAAAUGUUUGGUUUUCGAAACUUAAGGACCCAAAACGACAUUUACUCUUCUUUUACGUUUCUCCCACAUCGUGCAAAGAGAGAACUUUACAGCAUAAUAAGAACCCUAGCGAAGCAAUGGAGUUCGUCCCUUCGGGGACAUCCGAUAAAAUUGGAACGAUACAGAGAAGAUUAGCAUGGCCCCUGCGCAAGGAUGACACGCACAAAUCGAGAAAUGGUCCAAAUUUUUUUGCCGGUCGGAGGCGCUGAUGCUCCGGUUGAUCUGUAUUUUUUUGGCCGGCGACGGUCAAACGAGAUUUCUCGAAUUUUAUCAGAAUCCCCAAAUUCAUGGUUUUGCUAAUUAGGUUUUGCCAUUUGAUUGACUUAUAGUUUUUUUUUGUUGUUGUAGUUGGUUACAAUUACAAUCAUUUCAGUUUAGAUGGCGAAUUGAGCUCCAGUCAGAACAAAUAACUCAGCCCUCAUUGCUAUGAUUGCUGUUGAGCUUUGCUAUCAGAUUUUCUUGCUACCAUGCUUCAAAUUCUUUUCUUUCUGUCGAGCCAAGGGUGUAUUGGAAGCAGUCUCUCUACCCCACAAAAGUAGGGAUAAAGUCGGUGUAAAUUCUACCUUUCGCAGAUUUCACUUGUGGGAUUACACUGGGAUACAAUCACUGGGUUUUUACUAGCAGGAGUUGGUAAUGUUGAUUUGAGGAGGAAAACUAACUAUCUUAUUGUUGAUUCAAAAAUAAUGGUGAAGCAGAUUGAAGAUGCUUUGAAAGAAUUCACCACAAGGGAGGACAUUGUGAUAGUAUAAAUCAGCUUAUAUUUCCACCACUUUCUUGGUAUACUUGUAUUUGCAAAGUCAACCUUGAAUGGUGUGUGGGCCAUCUAAGGGGAACCUUGGAGCAACGGUAAAAUUUGUCUCCGUAUGACCACUAAUGCUUACAUUAGAGUUGUUUGUCUACAUCACACCCCUUCCCCUUGGGAUGCGGCCCUUUAUUGAACCUUGCUAAUACGAGAGGCUUUGUGCACUAGGCUGCCAUUUUAACCUUGAAUGGCGUCUAAAAAGCAUAGUUGAGGAAUCAUUGCCAUAUCAUGCCAACUUCUAUGACUGCAAAAGAGGAGGACCAUUUGUCUAAUAUGAGUCUGUCCUCCGGAAUUGGACAAUAAUGAGGAUUACCUGUUAAUUGCACCAAACAACUUGGGAGAAAGUACAAACACUUCCCAUUAUAAAAGUAGCUAAGGAUUUGUUUUCUGCAGUCAAAUCGUUUCAAUCUUUUGUUUGUUGUUACUGACUCCAGCAAAAUAUGUCCAAAUGUACUACCUCUAACUAAUAUAGUGCAUUCGUGUGACGGUGAUCAAUUUAACAUUUUUGAACUUUGAUUGAUUUUGUUUUCUUCAUGUAUUAGCAAUUUGUAUGUUGUUCUUCGGCGUCUCUUCAGGACAACUACUGCUCCUCUUUUGCCUCUAUUUGUAGUUGCUCUAAUAAAUCCUUUGGAUCGAAUAAAAGCUUCUCCCAUUUUCAUAUUAAGGUUGCAAACAUGAUCAGAUUCUUGGUUGAUAGUUACAAUAAACCAAUCCCAGCCAUUCUGGAGAUUCCUUCAAAGGACCAUCCAUAUGAUCCUGCUCACGACUCUGUUCUUUCACUAGUGAAGUACCUCUUCUCUACUGAAUCAGUGGCAUCUGAUAGACGAUGAGGAAAAAAUGGUUUACAUAUACCCCUAAUCAUUAGUUCACCAUUUUACUAUGCAUCUUCUAUCAUCAUUCUCCUAAGAUUAUUCCUUAAUCUUUCUUGAGGCUUAACUCACAUUACCUGUUUCAGUCCCUUAUUUACUGCUGCUUUUUUUUCACCGCUUGAGUGAAUAAUUCAUCCUUGUAAUAAGUUGAAUGUUGGUCACUUUACUGAGUUUGCACUUAUUAUUCGAUUGAUGUCGUGAUGGAGUUUUUAUAGAAGAACAGAAAUGUAUUGUGUGCUUAUGGAUAUAAUGAGUCAAGAUUUGGGUUGGUGUUGCUUCAAUAUAUUUAAGUCUUAGAUGGUGAACUCACAAUGUCUUGUAUCUGUUUUCUGUUUAAGUUAUUGCCUUUUGUUAUUCAAAUAUUAAGAAACAGAAGCCAUAAUUUGAUAUGAUAUUGCAUAUCCAAUAUGAUGCACAUAUCCUGGUUGAUGGACAUGUUAUGUGGACAACAAUUGAGGCCCUGUAGGGAUAGCAAUGGGGCGGGCAGGGAAGGGCAGGGUAGUGAGCCACUUCCUCGAUGUGGAUGUUGUGUAGCUGCUCCACAAGAAUAUAUAAGGUGAAGUGGAUUGUGGGAAGGAAGCUCGAUAGAGGCCCCUAGCUAACGAGAUGUACCUUUCAGCAUUGUUGGAAAGGCCAUUGAAGAAUUCUUGGAAUUCCGACUUCAAACAGCAUUCCGACUGGCCUUUCCAUUGGACGAAACACGGUGAUUUCCAACCCCUCAACUGUAUAAUACAUUAACCAUCUCUUUCAUUGCUUUACAAACUUGUGUUAGCAAAAAACAGAGAAUUUUUUCCCUUCUCAUGUCCUAAACAAGCACGAAAUGAGAUUAAUGAAGAGUUACUCUCCACAAGGAAUUGUAAAACUGCCUAUCAGAUGAUCAAAAUCAACUUCUUCCUCAGCUUGACUCAGCAAAUCUUGAAAAGAAAAAGGUUGGCUCAAGAAUGAAAUCCGGACAAUGAACCUCUCUUGUUAUGGUUCUCACAACAUAGACAACAAAAUGACCCUUUGGAACAUCUCCUAGUGUCGAAGACUUGUUGAGGGCUCGAUUAGAUUGAGUUAUACGAGGAACUUGGAUGGACAUAAUUAUAGCUAUAGACGAACAAAAGGAAGCAGCUAUCAACCUAAAACUAGACAACCAACCUCCACAAUUCCUAAGGUCACCUAUCUACAUGACAAAGAAGAGAGCAGAACAUGGUUUUGCUUCUUACCAGCAAUUGUUCAUUUAAUGAUCUCAAAUUAUUGGUAUUGCUGAGAAAUACCAAGUAGGCCUAGUUGGUUGUUUGAUCAAAGAAACUUAUCAUGUUUUAUUUUCAAACUAGCUUCAUCCACAAAAUUUUAAGGCCCCAUAUGAACAUGGCCAACAGGCAUCAGCACAUGGCUUUGCCUAACUCAUCAGCCCUAUUUCACAAGUUACAAAUAAUCCCUCUUUCGUGAGCCUUUUUAUCAUCAAGCACAAGCAUUAUCAAUUCAGCAAUCAAAGGUCUCUAAAUUUCUUAUUUACUUUCUUGUGUCCAAUCUUCCAAUAAACAAAAA
Solanum dulcamara is the source of this 3276-nucleotide RNA transcript. It is a transcript of the gene named auxin-responsive protein SAUR68-like, with no coding region annotated. NCBI's taxonomy places the organism in Eukaryota, Viridiplantae, Streptophyta, Magnoliopsida, Solanales, Solanaceae. The transcript is spliced from 7 exons. The record is from RefSeq and is a predicted model, not a curated record.